Molecule: long non-coding RNA, 543 nt
Organism: Mauremys mutica (yellowpond turtle)
Lineage: Eukaryota; Metazoa; Chordata; Testudines; Geoemydidae
Exons: 3
Source: RefSeq, a predicted model, not a curated record
GGGUCUCUACGGCAGCGUCAUUGUGACCGGCGGCAACACCCUGCUCCAGGGCUUCACCGACCGGCUGAACCGCGAGUUGUCGCAGAAAACGCCCCCCAGCAUGCGCCUCAAACUCAUCGCCAGCAACAGCACCAUGGAGCGGAGAUUCAGCCCCUGGAUUGGGGGGUCGAUCCUCGCCUCGCUGGGCACCUUCCAGCAGAUGUGGAUCUCCAAGCAGGAGUACGAGGAGGGCGGGAAGCAGUGCGUGGAGCGGAAGUGCCCCUGAUGCCGCCGGCGCCCCCUGGCGGCGGGGCUGGGGGCCCCAGGGGCAUCUGCCCUGGGGGUCCCCCACCCCACCCCUCUGCAGCCGGUCCCCAAGUUGCGUUUCCAACCAUUGUGCUCACAACACCUGUGGUGGGGGGAGAGGGUCCAAUCCCCCCGUCACAGCCCCCCAUGGGCUGUGCCGUUCCCCCCCACCCCCCACCCGGGUGCCCCUUGCUAGCUCGUUCCGUGGUUCGUUAAUUGGGUCGGUUCAUUUUCAUGGGUGCGAAUGUGGACAAUGGC